Felis catus (domestic cat) is the source of this 895-nucleotide long non-coding RNA. RefSeq lists it as uncharacterized. Lineage: Eukaryota; Metazoa; Chordata; Mammalia; Carnivora; Felidae. The transcript has 7 exons. The record is from RefSeq and is a predicted model, not a curated record.
CUAGAACCUCCCGGACCCCACUCUGCUCCUGAGGAUUCGCCCUUCCCACCAGAGCACCACCAGAAAAGGAAUGUAAGCCAUCACAGGAAUCCCAACCCAAUACUCUUACCCAUAGAUUGAGAGCUUCAGAGGAAGUGAAGUGCCUUUUAAAAAAUGACUUCUAACUGGAUGAAUCCCUCUGUCCAAGCCAUCAAUAAGCGUCUCCCAGAUAGCACUCUUACGUCAGUGGAACAGUACCCAGGACAGCAAGAGGAUUGCAAUCCCAAGAGACAAGCCACAGAAUGAAACUGAUAGCAGGAGUUCAAAGGAAAACAACUCAAGUGGUAGCAUUAUCAAAAGAAUUCAGAGGAGGAAGCCAUGGCUUUUGGCUGGUACCAAAAAGAGGAAAAAAAGAAAAGAAAAAAAGGGAUGCAGGAACAAAACAUUUAAGGUUCCCGAGAUUUUCUGAUAUACAAGUAUGGAGUGAACAUCCCAUCAUACAGGAGGUAUUCCCCAGAAACAUGUGGCAUGCCCAUGUCUCAGGCUUCUGUAAUCCUGCAUUUCACACUCUGACCUAUGAUUCAGGGUGGAAGCAUCAACUUAGCAGUUUUCUGUCAUCUGUAAAAAUGUCAAGAUUAAAAAAAAAACAACAUAAAGGUUGAGGAAUGGUUCCAAACCAAAUGAGACAAGAGAGACAUGACAAUCAAAUGCAAUGUGUGAUUCUGGACUACAUCCUGGAGCGUGGGGAAAAAAAUUGCUAUAGAAGAACUUUCAAAACAAAUUGGACACAUUUGAAUAUGGACUGUGAAUUAUAGAUUCACUCAUCAGUGCAUUGUUGGUAAAAGCAAGAUGGGAUGUCAUGUACAACAUGGUGACUAUUGAUAACACUGCUACGUAACACAUAGGAACGUCAUUG